UUAGAGUUUGAUCCUGGCUCAGAUUGAACGCUGGCGGCAGGCCUAACACAUGCAAGUCGAGCGGUAGCACAGAGAGCUUGCUCUCGGGUGACGAGCGGCGGACGGGUGAGUAAUGUCUGGGAAACUGCCUGAUGGAGGGGGAUAACUACUGGAAACGGUAGCUAAUACCGCAUAACGUCGCAAGACCAAAGUGGGGGACCUUCGGGCCUCAUGCCAUCAGAUGUGCCCAGAUGGGAUUAGCUAGUAGGUGGGGUAAUGGCUCACCUAGGCGACGAUCCCUAGCUGGUCUGAGAGGAUGACCAGCCACACUGGAACUGAGACACGGUCCAGACUCCUACGGGAGGCAGCAGUGGGGAAUAUUGCACAAUGGGCGCAAGCCUGAUGCAGCCAUGCCGCGUGUAUGAAGAAGGCCUUCGGGUUGUAAAGUACUUUCAGCGAGGAGGAAGGCGUUAAGGUUAAUAACCUUAGCGAUUGACGUUACUCGCAGAAGAAGCACCGGCUAACUCCGUGCCAGCAGCCGCGGUAAUACGGAGGGUGCAAGCGUUAAUCGGAAUUACUGGGCGUAAAGCGCACGCAGGCGGUCUGUCAAGUCGGAUGUGAAAUCCCCGGGCUCAACCUGGGAACUGCAUUCGAAACUGGCAGGCUAGAGUCUUGUAGAGGGGGGUAGAAUUCCAGGUGUAGCGGUGAAAUGCGUAGAGAUCUGGAGGAAUACCGGUGGCGAAGGCGGCCCCCUGGACAAAGACUGACGCUCAGGUGCGAAAGCGUGGGGAGCAAACAGGAUUAGAUACCCUGGUAGUCCACGCCGUAAACGAUGUCGACUUGGAGGUUGUGCCCUUGAGGCGUGGCUUCCGGAGCUAACGCGUUAAGUCGACCGCCUGGGGAGUACGGCCGCAAGGUUAAAACUCAAAUGAAUUGACGGGGGCCCGCACAAGCGGUGGAGCAUGUGGUUUAAUUCGAUGCAACGCGAAGAACCUUACCUACUCUUGACAUCCAGAGAACUUAGCAGAGAUGCUUUGGUGCCUUCGGGAACUCUGAGACAGGUGCUGCAUGGCUGUCGUCAGCUCGUGUUGUGAAAUGUUGGGUUAAGUCCCGCAACGAGCGCAACCCUUAUCCUUUGUUGCCAGCGGUCCGGCCGGGAACUCAAAGGAGACUGCCAGUGAUAAACUGGAGGAAGGUGGGGAUGACGUCAAGUCAUCAUGGCCCUUACGAGUAGGGCUACACACGUGCUACAAUGGCAUAUACAAAGAGAAGCGACCUCGCGAGAGCAAGCGGACCUCAUAAAGUAUGUCGUAGUCCGGAUUGGAGUCUGCAACUCGACUCCAUGAAGUCGGAAUCGCUAGUAAUCGUAGAUCAGAAUGCUACGGUGAAUACGUUCCCGGGCCUUGUACACACCGCCCGUCACACCAUGGGAGUGGGUUGCAAAAGAAGUAGGUAGCUUAACCUUCGGGAGGGCGCUUACCACUUUGUGAUUCAUGACUGGGGUGAAGUCGUAACAAGGUAGCCGUAG
This 1507-nucleotide ribosomal RNA is filed under the name Enterobacter sp. B2-3. Its description in RNAcentral is "16S ribosomal RNA". It matches the Rfam family "Bacterial small subunit ribosomal RNA". Lineage: Bacteria; Pseudomonadati; Pseudomonadota; Gammaproteobacteria; Enterobacterales; Enterobacteriaceae. The record is from RNAcentral.